Ceratitis capitata (Mediterranean fruit fly) is the source of this 365-nucleotide long non-coding RNA. RefSeq lists it as uncharacterized. The transcript has 2 exons. Lineage: Eukaryota; Metazoa; Arthropoda; Insecta; Diptera; Tephritidae. The record is from RefSeq and is a predicted model, not a curated record.
CUCCGUUUGUUAUCAAAAUAAUUUUGAAAAACUAUUACAAAAUAUCCAAAAUAGUUGUCAAAUGGCGUCCGUUUACACUUAAAAAUUAGAGAGCAACCAAAAUUUGAGAGGAAAAUAUUUAUUUAAUUAAAACGGAAAAAAAAUAUAUCAACAAAAUCAGAAAUGCAAUUUACUAAUACAGAAUGAACACGUUUGAAUCUCUUACUUCAGCUAAGGUAUUGGAUAAAAAUGUGCGUGCAGUGGACGAAUUCGCUCCCAUUAAAAGUAUACUCAAUUUAUUAUAAAUAGAAAUUGUGUGUUUAAUAACUGAACUUAAUACGGUUGAUGUGCAAGCCAUUUUUUGUAAUACAAUUGUAAUUUUAAUG